CCAGUUGGCCGGGCGGCCGCUUCACGUCAAUGCCGAAAGGUGGCGGAAGAGGAAAGUCCGGGCUUCGCGGAGAAACGGUGCCGGGUAACGCCCGGCGAGGGUGACCUCAGGGAAAGUGCCACAGAAAGCAGACCGCCUUGAACCCGCUUGCGGGUUGUAAGGUAAGGGUGAAAGGGUGGGGUAAGAGCCCACCGCGUUUCUGGCAACAGAAAUGGCAAGGUAAACCCCACCGGAAGCAAGACCGAAUAGGAACGGCGUGGCAGCUUGCUGCCGGUCUUCUCCGGAUUAUGCCGUUCGGGUAGGUUGCUAGAGGCGCAGCGUAAGUUGCGUCCCAGAGGAAUGGUCGUCGCAUGGCCCCCGGGCCAUGGCACAGAACCCGGCUUAUAGGCCAACUGGCUCC
RNAcentral lists this RNase P RNA (400 nucleotides) under Aureimonas fodinaquatilis. Its description in RNAcentral is "Bacterial RNase P class A". It matches the Rfam family "Bacterial RNase P class A". Rfam says of the family: Ribonuclease P (RNase P) is a ubiquitous endoribonuclease, found in archaea, bacteria and eukarya as well as chloroplasts and mitochondria. Its best characterised activity is the generation of mature 5'-ends of tRNAs by cleaving the 5'-leader elements of precursor-tRNAs. Cellular RNase Ps are ribonucleoproteins. The record is from Rfam by way of RNAcentral. Lineage: Bacteria; Pseudomonadati; Pseudomonadota; Alphaproteobacteria; Hyphomicrobiales; Aurantimonadaceae.